This is a long non-coding RNA of Conger conger (European conger), 1188 nucleotides long. RefSeq lists it as uncharacterized. NCBI's taxonomy places the organism in Eukaryota, Metazoa, Chordata, Actinopteri, Anguilliformes, Congridae. The record is from RefSeq and is a predicted model, not a curated record. The transcript has 2 exons.
GCUGCCAGCUGAUCGGACUGAGAAGCCGGUUUGAAGGUAGUUGGAAUCGGGAGAGAAGGCGAGCCGUACUCGUAGCCGAGAAAAAUCUGAGAAAAUCACUGUGGCUGCAGUUCACCCAAAUCGAGAUAAAGUGGAAUCGUCUCCUGGCCAGCUGGUUGGAGGAGCUCUUUCUGCUUCAGCGUGUGUGCACGUGCGUGUGUGUGUGUGUGUGUCCGUGCACACGCAUGUGUGUGUGCGUGCGCGCAUUGCUGGCUGAUCUGCAGCAGUUCUUCACUGGCAAGCUUUAUGUGCCUGUAUCUCAGCUAAAGCUGCCAGCUGAAGAACUGUUGUGGUCUGCUCUUUCCUACGACACACGCGAGGGAGAGGAGACGAGCAAGAGGAAGGACUACUGGAUCUACUCUCUGACUCCCACGUCGGUGUGUCUACUCUCUCUGACUCCCACAUCAGUGUCUACUCUCUCUGACUCCCACAUCAGUGUGUCUACUCUCUCUGACUCCCACAUCGGUGUGUCUACUCUCUCUGACUCCCACGUCGGUGUGUCUACUCUCUCUGACUCCCACAUCGGUGUGUCUACUCUCUCUGACUCCCACGUCGGUGUGUCUACUCUCUCUGACUCCCACUUCGGUGUGUCUACUCUCUCUGACUCCCACAUCGGUGUGUCUACUCUCUCUGACUCCCACUUCGGUGUGUCUACUCUCUCUGACUCCCACUUCGGUGUGUCUACUCUCUCUGACUCCCACGUCGGUGUGUCUACUCUCUCUGACUCCCACAUCAGUGUGUCUACUCUCUCUGACUCCCACUUCGGUGUGUCUACUCUCUCUGACUCCCACUUCGGUGUGUCUACUCUCUCUGACUCCCACGUCGGUGUGUCUACUCUCUCUGACUCCCACAUCAGUGUGUCUACUCUCUCUGACUCCCACGUCGGUGUGUCUACUCUCUCUGACUCCCACGUCGGUGUGUCUACUCUCUCUGACUCCCACGUCGGUGUGUCUACUCUCUCUGACUCCCACUUCGGUGUGUCUACUCUCUCUGACUCCCACGUCGGUGUGUCUACUCUCUCUGACUCCCACAUCAGUGUGUCUACUCUCUCUGACUCCCACCAGAGUCGGGAGAACAUUUGAUGUAAAAUAAUGUAUUCUGCUUUAACUGUUCUGCAUGUCAAUGUAUAUUAAAAUAAUUUAAAUGAAA